RNAcentral lists this ribosomal RNA (1469 nucleotides) under metagenome. Its description in RNAcentral is "bacterial SSU rRNA". It matches the Rfam family "Bacterial small subunit ribosomal RNA". The record is from RNAcentral.
AGAGUUUGAUCCUGGCUCAGGACGAACGCUGGCGGCGCGCCUAACACAUGCAAGUCGAACGGAGUCAAGAGGAGCUUGCUUUUCUUGACUUAGUGGCGAACGGGUGAGUAACGCGUGAGUAACCUGCCCUGAGGUGGGGGACAACAGUUGGAAACGACUGCUAAUACCGCAUAAGCCCACGGAUUCGCAUGGAUCUGCGGGAAAAGGAUUUAUUCGCUUCAGGAUGGACUCGCGUCCAAUUAGCUAGUUGGUGAGGUAACGGCCCACCAAGGCGACGAUUGGUAGCCGGACUGAGAGGUUGAACGGCCACAUUGGGACUGAGACACGGCCCAGACUCCUACGGGAGGCAGCAGUGGGGGAUAUUGCACAAUGGGGGAAACCCUGAUGCAGCGACGCCGCGUGGAGGAAGAAGGUUUUCGGAUUGUAAACUCCUGUCGUUAGGGACGAUAAUGACGGUACCUAACAAGAAAGCACCGGCUAACUACGUGCCAGCAGCCGCGGUAAAACGUAGGGUGCAAGCGUUGUCCGGAAUUACUGGGUGUAAAGGGAGCGCAGGCGGACCGGCAAGUUGGAAGUGAAAACCAUAGGCUCAACCUAUGGAUUGCUUUCAAAACUGCUGGCCUUGAGUAGUGCAGAGGUAGGUGGAAUUCCCGGUGUAGCGGUGGAAUGCGUAGAUAUCGGGAGGAACACCAGUGGCGAAGGCGACCUACUGGGCACCAACUGACGCUGAGGCUCGAAAGCAUGGGUAGCAAACAGGAUUAGAUACCCUGGUAGUCCAUGCCGUAAACGAUGAUUACUAGGUGUUGGAGGAUUGACCCCUUCAGUGCCGCAGUUAACACAAUAAGUAAUCCACCUGGGGAGUACGACCGCAAGGUUGAAACUCAAAGGAAUUGACGGGGGCCCGCACAAGCAGUGGAGUAUGUGGUUUAAUUCGAAGCAACGCGAAGAACCUUACCAGGUCUUGACAUCCGAUGCAUAGUGCAGAGAUGCAUGAAGUCCUUCGGGACAUCGAGACAGGUGGUGCAUGGUUGUCGUCAGCUCGUGUCGUGAGAUGUUGGCUUAAGUGCCAUAACGAGCGCAACCCCUCUCCUUAGUUGCCAUCAGGUUAAGCUGGGCACUCUGGGGACACUGCCACCGUAAGGUGUGAGGAAGGUGGGGAUGACGUCAAAUCAGCACGGCCCUUACGUCCGGGGCUACACACGUGUUACAAUGGCAGGUACAGAGAGACGGUUGUACGUAAGUACGAUCAAAUCCUUAAAGCCUGUCUCAGUUCGGACUGGGGUCUGCAACCCGACCCCACGAAGCUGGAUUCGCUAGUAAUCGCGCAUCAGCCAUGGCGCGGUGAAUACGUUCCCGGGCCUUGUACACACCGCCCGUCAAGCCAUGAAAGCCGGGGGCGCCUAAAGUCCGUGACCGUAAGGAGCGGCCUAGGGCGAAACUGGUAAUUGGGGCUAAGUCGUAACAAGGUA